Carassius auratus (goldfish) is the source of this 164-nucleotide small nuclear RNA. Its record names the gene U1. It matches the Rfam family "U1 spliceosomal RNA". From Rfam's summary of the family: U1 is a small nuclear RNA (snRNA) component of the spliceosome (involved in pre-mRNA splicing). Its 5' end forms complementary base pairs with the 5' splice junction, thus defining the 5' donor site of an intron. The record is from Ensembl. NCBI's taxonomy places the organism in Eukaryota, Metazoa, Chordata, Actinopteri, Cypriniformes, Cyprinidae.
AUACUUACCUGGCAGGGGAGAUACCAUGAUCAUGAAGGUGGUUCACCCAGGGCGAGGCUCAGCCAUUGCACUCCGGUUGUGCUGACCCCUGCGAAUUCCCCAAAUGUGGGAAUCUCGACUGCAUAAUUUCUGGUAGUGGGGGACUGCGUUCGCGCUCUCCCCUG